This 495-nucleotide ribosomal RNA is filed under the name uncultured bacterium. RNAcentral's name for it is "bacterial SSU rRNA". It matches the Rfam family "Bacterial small subunit ribosomal RNA", at positions 15 to 518 of the family's 1533-position model. The record is from RNAcentral.
GAUUCUGGCUCAGGAUGAACGCUGGCGGCGUGCUUAACACAUGCAAGUCGAACGAAGCCAAAAGGAAGCUUGCUUCUUGAAGCUAGUGGCGGACGGGUGAGUAACGCGUGAGGAACCUGCCCUUCAGUGGGGAAUAACAGCCGGAAACGACUGCUAAUACCGCAUAAUGUCGGAGUGCCGCAUGACACACCGACCAAAGGAUUUAUUCGCUGAAGGAUGGCCUCGCGUCCGAUUAGGCAGUUGGUGAGGUAACGGCCCACCAAACCUACGAUCGGUAGCCGAACUGAGAGGUUGAUCGGCCACAUUGGGACUGAGACACGGCCCAGACUCCUACGGGAGGCAGCAGUGGGGAAUAUUGGGCAAUGGGCGAAAGCCCUGACCCAGCAACGCCGCGUGAAGGAAGACGGUCUUCGGAUUGUAAACUUCUUUGAUUGGGGAAGAACACAAUGACCUACCCAAAGAACAAGUCACGGCUAACUACGUGCCAGCCGCCGC